This 253-nucleotide ribosomal RNA is filed under the name uncultured bacterium. RNAcentral describes it as "partial 16S ribosomal RNA". It matches the Rfam family "Bacterial small subunit ribosomal RNA", at positions 524 to 776 of the family's 1533-position model. The record is from RNAcentral.
GACAGAGGGUGCAAACGUUGCUCGGAAUUACUGGGCGUAAAGGGCUCGUAGGUGGCCAAUUAAGUCAGACGUGAAAUCCCCAGGCUCAACUUGGGAACUGCGUCUGAUACUGGUUGGCUUGAAUUCGGGAGAGGGAUGCAGAAUUCCAGGUGUAGCGGUGAAAUGCGUAGAUAUCUGGAGGAACACCGGUGGCGAAGGCGGCAUCCUGGACCAACACUGACGCUGAGGAGCGAAAGCCAGGGGAGCAGACGGG